This is a non-coding RNA of Hydra vulgaris (swiftwater hydra), 415 nucleotides long. The record is from RefSeq and is a predicted model, not a curated record. Lineage: Eukaryota; Metazoa; Cnidaria; Hydrozoa; Anthoathecata; Hydridae.
GACAAAAAAAAAAGGAUAAAUAAAAUACAUCUACAAAUAUGGAGUCAGUAUAAUGAUUUGUUUGUAUUAUUAAAAAAUAAUUUUUUAAAUUAGGAUUUUUACGAAACUAAAUAAUAACUAAAAUAAUAAAAACGUUUUAUAACUUAAGCAUGCAUAAGAACUGCAUAAUAACAUAGAGCUGCAUUUUGAACAUGACCAUUCUGCACAUUCGUCUUCCAAAACAUAAUCAGGGAUAAGUUUACAAGCGCGAUGAUAGCAAUUUUCACAUAUAUUGUUAUAGAAUUGAACUUUCCGGCCUACUAAACGGUGGUUUUUCGUGUGAUGCUUCAUAAUCGUCAGUAUCUAAGUUUAAGAAUGGUGAAUUUAGAUAUAAUGAUGACAAAGCACUCCAUGACCAAGCAGGGUACUUUCUAAA